This 446-nucleotide ribosomal RNA is filed under the name uncultured bacterium. Its description in RNAcentral is "partial 16S ribosomal RNA". It matches the Rfam family "Bacterial small subunit ribosomal RNA", at positions 338 to 795 of the family's 1533-position model. The record is from RNAcentral.
CCUACGGGGGGCAGCAGUAGGGACUCUUCGGCCAUGGGGGGAACCCUGACCGAGCAACGCCGCGUGAACGAAGAAGUUAUUCGUAAUGUAAAGUUCUUUUAACAGGGAAGAAAGAGAAAUUUGACGGUACCUGAAGAAUAAGCUCCGGCUAACUACGUGCCAGCAGCCGCGGUACUACGGAGGAUGCGAGCGUUAUCCGGAUUUAUUGGUUUUAAAGGGUGCGCAGGCGGAAGAUCAAGUCAGCGGUAAAAUUGAGAGGCUCAACCUCUUCGAGCCGUUGACACUGGUGUUCUUGAGUGAGCGAGAAGUAUGCGGAAUGCGUGGUGUAGCGGUGAAAUGCAUAGAUAUCACGCAGAACUCCGAUUGCGAAGGCAGCAUACCGGCGCUCAACUGACGCUCAUGCACGAAAGUGUGGGUAUCGAACAGGAUUAGAUACCCCAGUAGUC